AUUGAACGCUGGCGGCAGGCCUAACACAUGCAAGUCGAGCGGUUGAGGUAGCUUGCUACCGAUGCAGCGGCGAACGGGUGAGUAAUACAUGGGAAUCUGCCUGGUAGUGGGGGACAACGUUUCGAAAGGAACGCUAAUACCGCAUACGCCCUACGGGGGAAAGGGGGGGAUCGCAAGACCUCUCGCUAUCAGAUGAGCCCAUGUCAGAUUAGCUAGUUGGUGAGGUAAAGGCUCACCAAGGCGACGAUCUGUAACUGGUCUGAGAGGAUGAUCAGUCACACUGGAACUGAGACACGGUCCAGACUCCUACGGGAGGCAGCAGUGGUGAAGAUUGGACAAUGGGGGCAACCCUGAUCCAGCCAUGCCGCGUGUGUGAAGAAGGCCUUAGGGUUGUAAAGCACUUUCAGUGGGGAGAAAGGUGAUUCACCUAAUACGUGAGUCAAUUGAUGCUACCCACAGAAGAAGCACCGGCUAACUCCGUGCCAGCCGCCGCGGUAA
RNAcentral lists this ribosomal RNA (498 nucleotides) under uncultured bacterium. RNAcentral describes it as "partial 16S ribosomal RNA". It matches the Rfam family "Bacterial small subunit ribosomal RNA", at positions 30 to 523 of the family's 1533-position model. The record is from RNAcentral.